GAUGAACGCUGGCGGCGUGCUUAACACAUGCAAGUCGAACGAAGCACCUUGAUUUGAUUCUUCGGAUGAAGAUCUUGGUGACUGAGUGGCGGACGGGUGAGUAACGCGUGGGUAUCCUGCCUCAUACAGGGGGAUAACAGUUAGAAAUGACUGCUAAUACCGCAUAAGACCACAGCACCGCAUGGUGCAGGGGUAAAAACUCCGGUGGUAUGAGAUGGACCCGCGUCUGAUUAGGUAGUUGGUGGGGUAACGGCCUACCAAGCCGACGAUCAGUAGCCGACCUGAGAGGGUGACCGGCCACAUUGGGACUGAGACACGGCCCAAACCCCUACGGGAGGCAGCAGUGGGGAAUAUUGCACAAUGGGGGAAACCCUGAUGCAGCGACGCCGCGUGAGCGAUGAAGUAUUUCGGUAUGUAAAGCUCUAUCAGCAGGGAAGAAAAUGACGGUACCUGACUAAGAAGCACCGGCUAAAUACGUG
RNAcentral lists this ribosomal RNA (479 nucleotides) under uncultured bacterium. RNAcentral's name for it is "partial 16S ribosomal RNA". It matches the Rfam family "Bacterial small subunit ribosomal RNA", at positions 28 to 507 of the family's 1533-position model. The record is from RNAcentral.